AAUUUGAUAUGAUAACACUAUUAAUGAACAUGAUAAUGUUUAAAUAGCUAUCCCAUAUGACUUUUCCUGCAUAUUAGAUAUUAGGAUUCGGAUAUGACAGGCAGUAUACCAGCAUCAAAUACUAUAGUGUUUUUUAAGCACAAAUAUAACAAUCAAGCAUUAUCAAUUGGAUCCAUCAUAAUCGCAGCUAGAUACAAAGGCUAACCAAAGUAGGAUUAAAAGUCUGACAGCAUUAAAACUGAGUUCAAAAUCGAAUCUACAAAGGAAAUCAAUAUGGAAAUCAAAGUAAUUUCUUUAACUCAUUUGAAACAGACUUAACAUUAAUGGCAAUUGAAAUAACCCAUACAACAAAUCAUGGCCCUACUAGGACAACCAUCGAUACUUACACAAUUCCACAACAACGGAAACUGAACGGUGUUUGUCAGAAGCAUCUUCAUGAAUAUUCGGAAGAGUUCAUCCCUUUUUGCCUCGUGUAAGCUG
RNAcentral lists this long non-coding RNA (480 nucleotides) under Lathyrus oleraceus (garden pea). RNAcentral's name for it is "Pisum sativum (pea) long non-coding RNA (PSAT_LNC006753)". Lineage: Eukaryota; Viridiplantae; Streptophyta; Magnoliopsida; Fabales; Fabaceae. The record is from RNAcentral.